This 278-nucleotide long non-coding RNA is filed under the name Manihot esculenta (cassava). RNAcentral's name for it is "long non-coding RNA (MESC_LNC001984)". The record is from RNAcentral. Lineage: Eukaryota; Viridiplantae; Streptophyta; Magnoliopsida; Malpighiales; Euphorbiaceae.
UAGGGAUGUAAACGGGUAGGGUACCUGCGAAAUUGAGAGUACCCAAACCCGAACCCGAUUAUAUAUACAAUUCCCGAACCCGUCCCAAACCCGUUUAAUAUUUUAAUUUUACUAUCCGAACCCAUCCCAAACCCGUUUAACAAUACCCGCACAAUACCCGAACCCGAUACAAACCAGCAACUCAGCAACUCAGCAAAUAAUUUUUUUAAUUCAAUUCAAUGACAAAACCAAAUAAACUAUCUAACAGUUGCACAACCCAGUAGGAGGAGAAAUGUUCA